RNAcentral lists this ribosomal RNA (520 nucleotides) under uncultured Glomus. RNAcentral describes it as "SSU rRNA". It matches the Rfam family "Eukaryotic small subunit ribosomal RNA", at positions 569 to 1092 of the family's 1831-position model. The record is from RNAcentral. Lineage: Eukaryota; Fungi; Glomeromycota; Glomeromycetes; Glomerales; Glomeraceae.
AGCAGCCGCGGUAAUUCCAGCUCCAAUAGCGUAUAUUAAAGUUGUUGCAGUUAAAAAGCUCGUAGUUGAAUUUCGGGACCAAUAUGUCGGUCGUGCCUCGGUACGUACUGGUGUCAUUGGUUUCUCCCUUCUGAGGAUCCUUGAUGUCAUUAAUUUGGUGUCUUGGGGAAUCAGGACUGUUACCUUGAAAAAAUUAGAGUGUUUAAAGCAGGCAUACGCUUGAAUACAUUAGCAUGGAAUAAUGAAAUAGGACGUUCGAUUCUAUUUUGUUGGUUUCUAGGAUCGACGUAAUGAUUAAUAGGGAUAGUUGGGGGCAUUAGUAUUCAAUUGUCAGAGGUGAAAUUCUUGGAUUUAUUGAAGACUAACUACUGCGAAAGCAUUUGCCAAGGAUGUUUUCAUUAAUCAAGAACGAAAGUUAGGGGAUCGAAGACGAUCAGAUACCGUCGUAGUCUUAACCAUAAACUAUGCCAACUAGGGAUCGGAUGAUGUUAAUUUUUAAUGACUCAUUCGGCGCCUUAAC